Molecule: ribosomal RNA, 497 nt
Filed under: uncultured bacterium
Lineage: Bacteria
Description: partial 16S ribosomal RNA
Rfam family: Bacterial small subunit ribosomal RNA
Source: RNAcentral
GAUGAACGCUGGCGGCGUGCCUAAUACAUGCAAGUCGAGCGAACAGACGAGGAGCUUGCUCCUCUGAUGUUUGCGGCGGACGGGUGAGUAACACGUGUAUAACCUACCUAUAAGACUGGGAUAUCUUCGGGAGUCCGGAGCUAAUACCGGAUAACAUGUUGAACCGUAUGGUUCAAUAGUGAAAGACGGUCUUUCUGUCACGUAUAGAUGGAUCCGCGCUGCAUUGUCUGGUUGGUAGGGUAACGGCUUACUAGGGCAACUAUGCGUAGCCGACCUGAGAGAGUGGUCGCCCACACUGGAAGGUGGCCACGGUCCAGGCUCCUACGAUAGGCAGCAGUAGGCAACCGUACGCAGAGGGCGGAAACCUGGCGGAGCGGCGCGACGUGAGAGAAGGAGGUCUUCGGAUCGUAAAGCUCUGUUAUUAGGGAAGAACAGAUGUGUAAGUAGCUGUGCACGUCUUGACGGUACCUAGUAAAGAAGCCACGGCUAACUACGUG